AGUUUGAUCAUGGCUCAGAUUGAACGCUGGCGGAAUGCUUUACACAUGCAAGUCGAGCGGCAGCGCGGGGGCAACCCUGGCGGCGAGCGGCGAACGGGUGAGUAAUGCAUCGGAACGUACCCAGUCGUGGGGAUAACGUGGCGAAAGUCACGCUAAUACCGCAUACGCCCUGAGGGGGAAAGCGGGGGAUUCUUCGGAACCUCGCGCAAUUGGAGCGGCCGAUGUCAGAUUAGCUUGUUGGUGAGGUAAAGGCUCACCAAGGCGACGAUCUGUAGCGGGUCUGAGAGGAUGAUCCGCCACACUGGGACUGAGACACGGCCCAGACUCCUACGGGAGGCAGCAGUGGGGAAUUUUGGACAAUGGGGGCAACCCUGAUCCAGCCAUGCCGCGUGAGUGAAGAAGGCCUUCGGGUUGUAAAGCUCUUUCAGCCGGGAAGAAAACGCACUCUCUAACAUAGGGUGUGGAUGACGGUACCGGACCAAGAAGCACCGGCUAACUACGUG
RNAcentral lists this ribosomal RNA (503 nucleotides) under uncultured bacterium. RNAcentral's name for it is "bacterial SSU rRNA". It matches the Rfam family "Bacterial small subunit ribosomal RNA", at positions 10 to 507 of the family's 1533-position model. The record is from RNAcentral.